This 983-nucleotide long non-coding RNA is filed under the name Heterocephalus glaber (naked mole-rat). RNAcentral describes it as "lncRNA (ENSHGLG00100041981.1)". The record is from RNAcentral. Lineage: Eukaryota; Metazoa; Chordata; Mammalia; Rodentia; Bathyergidae.
AUUUAGGCCCUCACACAACCUAAUCAAGGGUUGUACCACUGAGCUACAUCCCCAGCUCCUGUGUUAGCUCUUUUGGUAUUAUAAGCUUACUACCUGGCUGCCUUGAGCUUAUAUAACUUAAAUUAGUUCUACACUUGAUCUUAGCCAAAAGGCCGAGAAGCAAUAGCCUAAAUUAGUUCUGAAACCACUUGUUUGCUCCUGGGUUUACUGACAAAGCUGUUAACCAGUGGGAAGUAUGACAGAUAGGCGUUUCCCAAAGUGCUCCUGCAGGAAUCCAGCUUGCAUGACUUGGGGAAGUCAGGGAAUACUUCCUGAAGAAGGCUGUUGUUGAACUAAGUAUUGAGGAAAAAUUUAAUGAAGAUAGCUCCACAGAAAGGGGAGAGUACACUUAAAGAGGACCAUGACGUGUACAGAGAUGAAAGGAAACGACUUAGAGGCCUUAUGAAUACAUCCGUGCAUUCUUGCUUCAGACUUUACAAUUGAAGGCCAACCCAGUCUGGAAGCAACUCUUGUUACUGUUAUAAGGAAACCGCUACCUCAGCAAACAAAAGGAAAGGAAGACUUGUAAUAACGAAUGCCAUUUUUAAAGAAAACUUGUUUUCAGAAAACAGUACAGGAAAUUUGGAAAUUUUUAGUCUUGAGGAGAAGCUUUACAGGCAAAUGAUUUGACAGGCAGGCUCUGUCAAAAUAAUGCAGAGAUUUGAUCUCCCUUCUUAAGGACUUUGUGCGGAAUAACCCUGUAUUGCUUUUUAAGUUGCUGUUGAUCAGCUUGUGGGUUUUUGAGUUCUAACUUUUUUGAUGUAUUAAAGAUACAUCCUAUUACCUUUUUAAAAGUUAUUUUUCUGCCAUUGUAAAUACAAGUAUCAAAAUAUUCUUGCAGAGCAAUUAUAAGUAAACAUUUUUGUCAACAAGCAUAUCUUUUUAUUAAGAGAGUGGAAUGCUAAAUAAUUAUACAGCAUUUUGGACACACUUUCAUUUUUUGU